RNAcentral lists this ribosomal RNA (253 nucleotides) under uncultured bacterium. Its description in RNAcentral is "partial 16S ribosomal RNA". It matches the Rfam family "Bacterial small subunit ribosomal RNA", at positions 524 to 776 of the family's 1533-position model. The record is from RNAcentral.
UACGUAGGGUCCGAGCGUUGUCCGGAAUUACUGGGCGUAAAGAGCUCGUAGGUGGUUUGUCGCGUUGUUCGUGAAAACUCACAGCUCAACUGUGGGCGUGCGGGCGAUACGGGCAGACUAGAGGUAUGCAGGGGAGAACGGAAUUCCUGGUGUAGCGGUGAAAUGCGCAGAUAUCAGGAGGAACACCGGUGGCGAAGGCGGGUUGCUGGGCCGACACUGACGCUGAGGCGCGAAAGCCAGGGGAGCAAACGGG